CGCGCAGGUGGGUUUGCAAGUCAGGGGUGAAAUCCUACAGCUUAACUGUAGAACUGCCUUUGAUACUGCAAAUCUUGAGUACGGAAGAGAGAGGCGGAAUUUCAGGUGUAGUGGUGAAAUACGUAGAUAUCUGGAAGAACACCAGUUGCGAAGGCGGUCUCUUGGUCCAAUACUGACGCUGAGGCGCGAAAGCGUGGGGAGCAAACAGGAUUAGAUACCCUGGUAGUCC
RNAcentral lists this ribosomal RNA (229 nucleotides) under uncultured bacterium. RNAcentral's name for it is "partial 16S ribosomal RNA". It matches the Rfam family "Bacterial small subunit ribosomal RNA", at positions 568 to 796 of the family's 1533-position model. The record is from RNAcentral.